CCUACGGGAGGCAGCAGUGAGGAAUAUUGGUCAAUGGACGAGAGUCUGAACCAGCCAAGUAGCGUGAAGGAUGAAUGCUCUAUGGGUUGUAAACUUCUUUUAUAUGGGAAUAAAAUGUUCCACGUGUGGGAUUUUGUAUGUACCAUAUGAAUAAGGAUCGGCUAACUCCGUGCCAGCAGCCGCGGUAAUACGGAGGAUCCGAGCGUUAUCCGGAUUUAGUGGGGUUAAAGGGAGCGUAGGUGGAUUGUUAAGUCAGUUGUGAAAGUUUGCGGCUCAACCGUAAAAUUGCAGUUGAAACUGGCAGUCUUGAGUACAGUAGAGGUGGGCGGAAUUCGUGGUGUAGCGGUGAAAUGCUUAGAUAUCACGAAGAACUCCGAUUGCGAAGGCAGCUCACUGGACUGCAACUGACACUGAGGCUCGAAAGUGUGGGUAUCAAACAGGAUUAGAUACCCGGGUAGUC
Molecule: ribosomal RNA, 460 nt
Filed under: uncultured bacterium
Lineage: Bacteria
Description: partial 16S ribosomal RNA
Rfam family: Bacterial small subunit ribosomal RNA
Source: RNAcentral